UUAUCCGGAUUUAUUGGGUUUAAAGGGUGCGUAGGCGGAUUAGUAAGUUAGAGGUGAAAGCUCGAUGCUCAACAUCGAAAUUGCCUCUGAUACUGUUAGUCUAGAGUAUAGUUGCGGAAGGCGGAAUGUGUGGUGUAGCGGUGAAAUGCUUAGAUAUCACACAGAACACCGAUUGCGAAGGCAGCUUUCCAAGCUAUUACUGACGCUGAUGCACGAAAGCGUGGGGAGCAAACAGGAUUAGAUACCCUGGUAGUCCACGCCGUAAACGAUGAUAACUCGUUGCAGGCGAUACACUGUCUGUGACUUAGCGAAAGCGUUAAGUUAUCCACCUGGGGAGUACGUUCGCAAGAAUGAAACUCAAAGGAAUUGACGGGGGCCCGCACAAGCGGAGGAACAUGUGGUUUAAUUC
Molecule: ribosomal RNA, 409 nt
Filed under: uncultured bacterium
Lineage: Bacteria
Description: bacterial SSU rRNA
Rfam family: Bacterial small subunit ribosomal RNA
Source: RNAcentral